UACGUAGGUGGCAAGCGUUGUCCGGAUUUAUUGGGUUUAAAGGGUGCGUAGGCGGCCCCGUAAGUCAGUGCUGAAAUAUCCCGGCUUAACCGGGAGGGUGGCAUUGAUACUGCGAGGCUUGAGUAGAGUUGAGGUUGGCGGAAUUGACGGUGUAGCGGUGAAAUGCUUAGAUAUCGUCAAGAACACCGAUAGUGUAGACAGCUAACUAAGCUCAAACUGACGCUGAGGCACGAAAGUGUGGGGAUCAAACAGG
RNAcentral lists this ribosomal RNA (253 nucleotides) under uncultured bacterium. RNAcentral describes it as "partial 16S ribosomal RNA". It matches the Rfam family "Bacterial small subunit ribosomal RNA", at positions 524 to 776 of the family's 1533-position model. The record is from RNAcentral.